RNAcentral lists this transfer RNA (64 nucleotides) under Cranuca inversa. RNAcentral's name for it is "tRNA-Gly". The record is from RNAcentral. Lineage: Eukaryota; Metazoa; Arthropoda; Malacostraca; Decapoda; Ocypodidae.
ACUUUUUUAGUAUAUUAAGUAUAUUUGAUUUCCAAUCAUAAGGACUAAAAGAUUAGAAAAAGUA